AUGUGCUUGUCGAUCUUCUUGGCCUCACGGUACUUGCGCAGAAGGCGCCUGAGGACGCGCAUCCUCCGCAUCCACAGGAUCUUGGUGGGGAGCCUAGCCUCCCUGGUACCCCUACGCUUACCUGUGCAGAGAGCAGAAUCACAGAGUGACGGCCCUUCUGCUUGGCCUCAUGUGCCCUCCUUGCACGAGACCUGGAGUGGAUCUUCUGAGGCUUCCUGA
Molecule: ribosomal RNA, 219 nt
Filed under: Triticum aestivum (bread wheat)
Lineage: Eukaryota; Viridiplantae; Streptophyta; Magnoliopsida; Poales; Poaceae
Description: partial small subunit ribosomal RNA
Source: RNAcentral